Molecule: long non-coding RNA, 983 nt
Organism: Magnolia sinica
Lineage: Eukaryota; Viridiplantae; Streptophyta; Magnoliopsida; Magnoliales; Magnoliaceae
Exons: 2
Source: RefSeq, a predicted model, not a curated record
UCAAAAUCCCUCUCUCUCAACAGAGCUCUCUUCUCAAAAUCCCUCAGCUCCGAAAGGAAAUUCUGUCCUCCACACCAGCGAUCUCUUCGCCAAUUUCAGUUAAUCAUUCUCUCUUUUUAUCUACUGAUUUCUCAACUGAAAUCCUCUCGAAAAUCAGAAAUUGGGGCAGAAAUCUCUCAUUUUCAUGCGUUUUCCCCAUUUGGCCGUUCAAAAUUCAAUUUCCACAUUUUUUGGUUCGAUCUGAGUUUUUUUUUUUUUUUUGCUGAUUUCACUGAAAUCUUACUUAGGAAGUGGAAAAUCCUGUCGUUUCUAGCUCAUUUGCUAGAUUUGAGCAGUUCUGCAUUGCAAUAUUAGCGAUUAGGGUUUGGUGUUCGAUCUGAGAGCAAAACCUUGUUCUCUGCUGUGAAAUUUGCUCCUCCAUUACCGAUUUCCAUGUAGGCUAGAUAAACAAGGGGCAUAUACACCAAUUGCAGCUCCUCACCGAACCGAACCCUAGCUCUUCUCUCCGUCUUCUUUAAUAUUUCUCUCGUCUUCGUCAGAUCUACCGUCUCUCUCUCUCUCUCUCUCUCUCUCUCUCUCUCUCUCUCUCUCUCUCUCUCUCUCUCUCUCUCUCUCUCUCCGAUCAUCAGAUCCUCAAAAGACAUUUGAUUAUUCAUUUGAAGAAGUUACUCAAAUUUACAGUUGGCAUUAUUUGAGGACAGAGGAAGGGUUUUAACUUUCAAUCAGGUGAGCUUCCCCCUCUCAUUUCUCCAAAAUUUUCCACUUAGGGUUUGGUUUUUGUAAUUUUUUCUUGAUUUCUGGUGCUUGAUCUGUUUUGAUCUUGAUCCAACUUAUGUCUCUUUAUUCUUAGAGAUUUCAUUGGAUUUUGUUUCGAUUCUUGCUGAUUUAAGUUGUAAUUUAGGUUUUUGUAUUUAGAUUUUAGAGAUUUAUCUUUGAUUUAUGUAAUAUCAUGUAUUUGAAAUACAUUUUGAGAUUUCAUUGGA